This 4360-nucleotide unclassified non-coding RNA is filed under the name Leishmania donovani. Its description in RNAcentral is "gene:LdHU3.36.3740(CDS-product:related_to_multifu nctional_cyclin-dependent_kinase_pho85-like_protein)". Lineage: Eukaryota; Euglenozoa; Kinetoplastea; Trypanosomatida; Trypanosomatidae. The record is from RNAcentral.
AUCCUCCGAUCGCUACACACGGACAUUGGCACAGCUGGGAGCCAUUUUUGUCUUCCACAGCGCGAACAUUUUCAUUCGUAUCUCUCGUUUUGCUCUUCUUUUGCUGAAGAUCGCCUUCUUUCCUCCUCUUUCUUUUCUAUCUCUGUUCCUCAUUGUCCCCCGAGCAACGACAUCGUUUACGACUCUUUGCUUUUGUCACUUGCUGAGUUCUGAGAAAAAAAAACGCGGCAAAAAGAGAUCAGCGCGCGCUCGCGAUGCCACUGAUGAACGUGUGCAUCUACGGCCUCUCAAGCCAGAUGCUGGAGGCUUUCUUUGCGCGAGAGCGCGCUCGAAGCGCACAGCCGCUCGUGGCCUCCGCCUCCUCGGAACUGCGAUUUGGUCUGGUGGGCGCAGGGGAAAGUAUGGGGGCAUGGGGCCUGAAGUGGCCUGUGGCGCUCGAAUGUUGUCAGUGCCAGCGUAUCCCGUGCCUACGCGUUCCUUACCUCUCGCCCCUACCCCACCCCUGCGAGGAUGGUCAAGAGUCUUGCGUGGAGCAUUACGUGGCUCAAGUGCGUCUCACAAGUCAGGAGAUGGACGGAUUACGUAAUCAACAGUCCGCUGCAGAGCCUCUCUCCAUGCCGUGCCGGCUGGUUAUUCUGGAGGAUGCGUUCUUUCGCGCGCCGCGAACCCCAGAGUCGAGCAUCUGUGCCACCCCUGGCACUGUGAUUGCCGGGGUCGAUCAGCGGUACAGUCAGCCUUCCUCUCUCUGCAUCACGCCAUUCGAACACGAAGAAGGCGCGCUCACGGAGGGCAGUGGAGAGGUGCUCCAGUGGCUGGCAGUGCUGGAUGUGCGCCGGCACCACGAUGCCAGCGUCACAGUCGACAGUAAUCCUCUGGGCCGCAGUGGGAGAGAUGAUGCCGCGACCGCAUCCGUCUGCUUCGGUUCCACUGGUGAACAGUUCGCCUUGCUGUACAACUUGCCUGCACUGCCGCCACGCCCCACUCCCCCGGUGCCCGUGACGGUAUCAUCGGGCAUGGCUUUUCCGGCAUCCGAGGCUGACGCAGAUGCCAGCGUCGGCUCAGCGAGCGACAGCAUCCCGCCCUUCUGCGAAUGCGACCCUGACGGCGGUGUGUGCGCAACCGUCGGCAAUCCAGGCCCGUUGCUGUCUCUCACCUUCUACGCCAACGACCCUACCCAACCGUUCGACCAGGCCGCGUGGCAGUCAGAGCUGACGUCGCAUCAGAGCGAGGUGAUGCGUCGGCGCAUGCGCGAGACCCCCGACGGGGUGCUAUCGACCACCGUCUGCCAAGUCACAGACGUGCGGCCGAUUCCGGUAGAAGGCAGCUGCUGGUGCCGUUCCAACCUGCCCAUACCCGCGCUGUUGGAGCAGCAGCUGAAUGAGAUGCGCAUGAAGCGUAGCUCUGCGGCCGCAGCAAGCAACCGUGGUCGGGACAGCUACAGAGCAUCGAGCCCCGCAAUGUCUUCAACAUCGUCGGUAUGCACGAUGAACUCCUCACACAGUGGACGUCACCAUACUCACGUCGAGAGCUCGCGGCGCUCGGCACGCGGCGGGGCAACGCAGCCGUCCGCUGGUUUCCUGGCCAAGGGCUGGUGUGUGCGACCGCUGCAGACGAUCAAGCCUGUUCUGCCGCAGACGGGCUACGUGGACAGCACAGGAAGAGCGCCGCUUGUGGCGGCUCGUACGCAGCACGUGUGGACGUGCCUCCUCAACCUUCGCGAGUUGGACGAGUUUGCGAUCGAGGUGACUGUCAAGGUUCCGUACAUAGCGGGCGACACGGAGCUUUCUCUCCAAGGCAAUACCGUGCUCUUCUCUGGCAUGCUGCGUUCCAGCACGAGCGGCACCGUGCUCUUGCCAGUCUACUGCCCCGCACCCGAGGGUGCGCCGGCGGGCGUCACGUCACUGUGGAUGAAGCUGUACGUGCAGUACCUGCUAGUGUUUCCAUUGGAGGGAUGUGGGCAGCACGGCCCGCUGGAGAUUGUGCGGUCCUCGGAGACGUUUGCGUGGCUCACUGUCCCCACCUUGAUUGGGCACCGCGGGCUGGGAAAGACGUACGCGCGCUCACCCUCCGCCUCUGGAGGCGCACCGUUCGUCAUAAAGUGCAGCGAGAACACCAUACCAUCAUUCCAAGCCGCGCACGCACGCAAAUGCAAGAUGAUUGAGUUUGACGUCAUGCUCUCCAAGGAUCGCGUGCCUGUCGUGAUCCACGACCCCUUGAUUGAGCUGAUGGCGCUGAAGCGAGAGGGCGUACGUGCGUGUCCGGGGAAGGCAGAGUACACACCAGUGCGCGCCGCGGUGCACAAGUUGAACUAUACGCGGCUGCGUGACCUGCACGUGCAGUGUUGCAAGUCCGUUGACCGCGUAUUUCCCACCAAAGACCUACUGAUACACCACUGGGAUAGUCUGCUGUCGUGGGCGCGCAAUUGUCAGCCCAAGGCGCUGAGGGGCUCUUCGUCGUCGUCACAGAACGGCGUGUGCUGUGGUAGCUCAGCGCGGACCGUCGAGAGCUCUCUGAUGGGGGUGGAGGACUUCCCUAACGGGGUUCCCUCGCUCCGGGAAGUGCUGGAGCAGACACCACCGUCUCUGCACUUCAACAUUGAGGUGAAAUACCCUUUCCAGCCGCUCAUCGACUCGAAUCUCUUUCUGCAGAGUGACGCGUUUGAGGUGAACGGGUUUGUGGACGCUAUCCUGCGAGUCGUCUUUGAGUUUGCGGACAACGGCCGAAAGAUCACCUUUAGCAGCUUCGACCCCAACGUGUGCCUUGCGCUGGCCCUGAAGCAGAGCCGCUACGACGUCCUCUUCCUCAGCGACACGAAGGAGAUGCGCGACUUGAAGGACUACCGCUCCUUUUACGUGGAGGGCGCCAUCCAGUUCGCCUCUGCGCAGCACCUCGCGGGUGUUUCGGUGAACGCCGGGACGCUGCUGUCGCCAGAGGAUGAGGCGGUGCUGCCGAAUAUCCCUGAGGCGCCGCUGCACGGUUCGGCCGAACGCGGCCCCGUAACAGCAGAGCUCUUCCACGCCGAUGACCCGCAGCAUGCUCCACCAACCGUGCCGUCGUCCUUUGGCGCUUAUGGACGCGCCAUGGUCGCCGAGAUGCACCACCGACGGCUGAAAGUGUGGACGUGGGGCGACAUGAACAGCUACCUUUACUUUGCCUACGCGCAGGCGGCCAAGAUGCAGGUUGACGGCGUGAUUGGGGAUCGCAUGCCAGUGUUCUCCUCCACGAGCUGAGGCUGAUGCGCGCUCAGUUUCAUGCGACGAGUACCGGGCCUCAGGUGUGCACUGCCUCUUCCCUCUUUCCCUGUUCAACGCAACACAGACAAAGUAAAAGCCUCGAACCGAAGCUGUUGGGCGGGCGCGGAGGGGCAACUCAUAAGUGAUACCUGACAGUGCUCUCCUUCGACUACCUUCACCCCACUCGCCUUCGCGAGAGACGGCCAUGUGCAUUUCUCACCACGAAGAGUUCUCAGAGGGGAGCACUGAAGAGGAAUGUGUGUAUGCGUGCGAGGGGAGGGCGGAAGCCACUGCUUUUUUUUCUUUAUCUGCUACAGCGCAUUUUGUCCUAUAUUUUUUCUUCGCUUGCGCAUGCUGUGCCCCGUUGCGAUUUGUACAGAAGCGCGUUAUCUUGCCAGCGUUUGGUGUCUCUGUUUGCGGGCGCGAGUGUGUUCUUACGAGGACGCCUCAGCUGUAGCUCACACCCUUAUUGACAUGAGCACUCAGACAUGGAAGGGAAGCGAGCAGACGUUUUUUUUUUCUGGCAUUAAAGCACCUUUUUACGGUCGCCUACUCGUUGCACAGGUGAACCGAAACAAAUGCACACUGUAAAGCAAAAUGUAGUCGGAAGAGCAGGAAAACGCAAGUGUAAAAGACGAAUGAUCAGCGUAGUGGGGGCGAAUGCACAUCUUAUGGGUGAAGCUCACGGCAUGUGUGGGAGUUUGCGCGAGCAAGGUGCGCUGCACAAUGACCAUUGCCGUGCAUCCUCAUAGCUCGCUUUCUGUGCAGAGUGAAGCUACCAUUCUCGCAUAAGAAUGUGCAAUUUGGUCUUCUGUCUAUAAUUUUUUUUUGUAAGCAUUUGGCAAGAAUGAGGGAGGGAUGAUCAAAAAAAAAAAACGAUAUGAUGGAGGAGUUAGUCAACGUAUUCUCCGCCAUUCCAAUGACAUGCUUCACCCAACCUUUUUUUUUUACCUCAUUCGGUACUUUCACUCAUUUUGGAUCUCGAGGAACCGAGUCAUUGUAAGCGUUGCACUUUUCCUCCACCCAACCAUUUGAUAGCCCACCACGCCAGGGAUCCUUGGGUAACGGAAAAGAGGGAAAUGUGCAGGUCUACCUAUUCGUGCGUAGUGUUACCGGAUGAGGACUUG